Molecule: unclassified non-coding RNA, 132 nt
Organism: Cricetulus griseus (Chinese hamster)
Lineage: Eukaryota; Metazoa; Chordata; Mammalia; Rodentia; Cricetidae
Product: predicted gene, 27761
Source: Ensembl
CUAUAAAAGAUGUAACAGAUGCAAACUGUAACACAAGGGCCAUUAACCCUUUCUCCGCCGCCCAGCACGCCCAGUUCCCUACACCCUGCACCUAUUGUCUCCCGUGCUACAAGCUUUGCGGAAAACCUGGAA